This 3358-nucleotide long non-coding RNA is filed under the name Homo sapiens (human). Its description in RNAcentral is "HSALNT0279919". Lineage: Eukaryota; Metazoa; Chordata; Mammalia; Primates; Hominidae. The record is from RNAcentral.
GAGUGCCCACAGUCACUUCUUUGUAAUGCUAAAUUUUCCUAGCUUUCCUGGCCUAUAAUGGUUGGCUUCCAGAAAUACACCUAUUGCCUUUGGUCAGAAAUACACCUGCUGCCUCAUUCACCUGACGUUGUGAGAAGGGACAAGUAUAUGAAUGUAUCCUCAGUGCCCAGCAGUGGAAGCAGAUGAGAGUGAUAUUCUUUCUUGAACUGGAAGAGGGACUCCUAACAACUAUAUUUAAUCCUGGGGUUCAAUUAGUGACUGGAGUGUAGCUGCCGCCGCCACCACCACCACCACCACCACCACCACCAUCUUAUCACCGCCAGCAAUGAGAUCUCAAGACAUUCUGUAAACAUUUCUUUGGCAUGUAUCAGUGUCCCUGAGAGCGUUGAUAAUCUGCUUGAAUGUGAGCUCAAUGCUGGGACGGCCUCCCCGGACUUGGCAGGCAGCCCUUGAACAAACCUUUUGUGCCUGCAUCCCUCUGAUGGACAGGCACUGAGGAUGCCGGUGACCCAGCUUCUAGAAAGAAUCACAGCAGGGAAGGGGCAUUGCUAAGUAGUCUUCCAACCUGGGGACACAAGCUAAAAAUGAGAGAAAACUCAGAUCAACAGUGCUGCUGAGCUUAUUACGUUUAAGACGAAAAACAAUACCUGAUUAAAGCAACAAAACACCUGGAUAUUUUGCAGUUAGCCCCGUUAAUCAGAGAAGGAUGAGCCUUGGGGCUGUGGCUCAGGUUCCUAAUCCUGUUGCUAGAGUUUUUCACUUUUGUUCUCAUUUCUGCGGCUGACAUGGGAUCCUACAGAUUGUUUAUCCCAAGGCUGUCUGGGCCUGGGCUCUGUGAACAGUGUCACUCUAAAAAUAACAGGCUGUGCCGAGAAUAGCAGACUUUCUCCUUUUUCCUGCAGAAGACGACUUCUCAGCUCCUUGGAGGGGUCAGUACGAGGUGAGAGCCAUAGAAAGAUGGCAACGAAAAAGAAAGAGACAUUCUGCAAUGGGUUGAAUGGGGUCUCCCUGACAUUUACAUCACCCAGAACCUCAAAAUAUGACCUUAUCUGGAAACAGGGUCUUUUGAGAUGUCAUGGAUUCUGCUGCCAUCAGCAGAGAGACAGAAAGGUAAGCUCGAACAGGAGAAUCAGGAUGAUUGAACUGGGUCUAAUUUGUUUCCUUUUCAUGAAAAAGAAAUAAGAUGAUAUCGUGCAGGACCCCAGGGUGAGAGCAGAUGAUUCACAACACAAACCCAAAAAUAAGCUUGCCUUUCACACAACCUUUUUAUGCAUCGAACCAUGCUGCAACGAAAACAAGUUUAAUGACUUUAUGACUUGCACCUCGAGGUAUCCAAAUACUUUUACAAAAUCUAGAUUCUGCCAUGCAGUGUCCUUUUUACAAAAGUGCCAUCAGCGUUGUUAGGACCUGAGGUUAUCACAGCUCUUUUUAUAAACAUGGCCGAGCCAAGGGGGAAGUGAGAUGGGGCAGAAGGGAAAUUUUGGAGGACGCAGAGAGAUCCAUCUUAGUUCCUCUCUAUUUUCAUCUACUUUCUGUUGGUCCACAGGUCUGCCCUCUGGAAGUCAGCUGAAGCCCAGUGCAAAGUGCAGCUGGUCAAGACAUUGUGGUUCUCAAUCAGGAACCCUUUGCAAUGUCAGCCUCCCCUAGGAUGAGUGAGCAAGCUUGGCGGGAAUAUGGGGGUGUUGAUUAUGGUCUCUCCUCUGGGACAUUCAGAAUCAAUCUGUCCGUCGCAAGAUCGAAAUAAAGUGGUGAUAUAGAUGAGUCUGAGAACUUAUCUACAACUCACAGCAGCAACUCUCUGUGUAAAUGUUAAUUGUACAAUCAGGGUAAAAAAAAUAACUCUAAUACCAUAUGUGCAUGUUAGGAAAUUAUCUAAGUGCAUAUGGAAUCGGGAGCUCAGAGGCUGAAGGAACUGAAAGGAUUUUCCAUAUAAAAUUCUUUACUGCAUGUUACAGGCUGAAUUGUGUUUCCUCAAAAUUUAUAUGUUAAAUCCUAAACAUUGGGACCUCAGAAUGUCACUGUAUUUGGAGAUAAGGUCUUUAAAGAGGUGAUUAAGGUAAAAUGAGGUCACUAAGAUGGGCACCAAUCCAAUAGGACUGGGGUCUUUAUAAGAAGAGAAUAUUAGGACACAGACAUAAAUACAGGGACGACCCUGUGAGGACAAAGGGAGAAGACAGCAUCUACAAGCUCAGGAGAGAAGCUUUAGGAGGAGCCAACCCUUCCCAUACCUUGAGCUUAGACUUCCAGCCUCCAGGACUGUGGGAGAAUAAAUGUCUGCUGUUUGUAAACCACCCAGUCUAUGGUGUGCUGUUAUAGCAGCCUGAAAUGGACUAAGCCAUCUCAUAAGAAGAGGAGACAGAUACACACAGAGGGACAACCAUUUGAGGACACAGGGAGAAGACAGUGUCUACAAGCUCAGGAGAGAGGCCUCGAGAGGAACCAGCCCUGCCCACACCUUGAUCUUGGAAUUCCAACCUCCAGGACUGUGGAGAAUAAGUGUCUGUUGCUUGUAAGCCAUUAAGUCUAUGGUAUUAUGUUACAGAAGCCUGAAAUUGACUAAGACAUCUCAUAAGAAGAAGAGAUGAGGACACAGACACACACAGAGGGACGACCACAUGAGGACACAGGGAGAAGAUGGCAUCUACAAGGCUACGAGAGAGGCUUCAGGAGGAACCAGCCGUGCUCACCCCUUGAUCUCAGAUUUCCAGCCUCCAGAACCGUGAGAAAAUAAAUCUUUGUUGUUUAAGUCACCUGGUCUGUGGAACUUUCUUAUGGAAGUCCUAGAAAACUAAUAUACUGCAUGAAAAGAAACCUUCCUAUAACAUCAUUCAUGAGGAUAAAUUUAGCUUGUAUUGUGUUUCUUCAUCGUCAAUAACUUAGAAUAAAAUGUGAGAAGAACAGUAAUGUAAACAUACUGAUAUUUACCCCAAAUGGGAAAAUUGUAGCUAGUAUUUUCCCUCAAGAAGAUCUGUUCCCUUUAUUAUAGAAUUGCUAUUCCAACCACUUCAAUAUUAUAAUUCCUACUAUCUUCCUUAACAUCUCUAUAAAAUAAACCUUAAACAUUUUCCAUCAACAUCUUGCAAAUCAAUUUGCAGGCCAAAAAUUAUUUCUAACAUCUUCCUGAAUUUUUUCAUAUGAUAAUUUAAAUUUAUACUCUCUUUGUUUCCUUUGUGAAAAAACAAUUCCUAGUUAGAAUGAGAAGAAAGCCCCAAUUAUGUUGGGAUUAAAUGCCGGGAACAAUUAAAUGUUGGGAACAUUUUAGUUCAAAAGAAGACCAUGUUUCAUUUCAUUUACCCUUCAAGAAAGGUAAGGUGAAUAUUAUCAUAUAUUUUUCCUCAAUUCCUUGCUAUUCACCCAU